RNAcentral lists this transfer RNA (70 nucleotides) under Trimma corallinum (polkadot goby). RNAcentral's name for it is "tRNA-His". It matches the Rfam family "tRNA". Rfam says of the family: Transfer RNA (tRNA) molecules are approximately 80 nucleotides in length. Their secondary structure includes four short double-helical elements and three loops (D, anti-codon, and T loops). The record is from RNAcentral. Lineage: Eukaryota; Metazoa; Chordata; Actinopteri; Gobiiformes; Gobiidae.
GUUAGCAUAGUUUAAUAAAAAACAUUAGAUUGUGAUUCUGAAAACAGAGGUUAGUUUCCUCUUGCUCACC